AACGCGAAGAACCUUACCUGGGCUCGAAGCGCAGUGGAAUCCGGUGGAAACAUCGGCGCCCCUUAAAAGGCUGCUGCGGAGGUGCUGCAUGGCUGUCGUCAGCUCGUGUCGUGAGAUGUUGGGUUAAGUCCCGCAACGAGCGCAACCCUUAUCGUUAGUUGCCAGCGGGUUAUGCCGGGCACUCUAGCGAAACCGCCCCGGAUAACGGGGAGGAAGGUGGGGAUGACGUCAAGUCCUCAUGGCCCUUAUGACCAGGGCUACACACGUGCUACAAUGGUAGGUACAAAGGGUCGCGAAGCCGCAAGGUGGAGCCAAUCCCAUAAAGCCUAUCGUAGUCCGGAUCGGAGUCUGCAACUCGACUCCGUGAAGUCGGAAUCGCUAGUAAUCGUAGAUCAGCAUUGCUACGGUGAAUACGUUCCCGGGCCUUGUACACACCGGAGUA
RNAcentral lists this ribosomal RNA (442 nucleotides) under uncultured bacterium. Its description in RNAcentral is "bacterial SSU rRNA". It matches the Rfam family "Bacterial small subunit ribosomal RNA", at positions 958 to 1398 of the family's 1533-position model. The record is from RNAcentral.